This 549-nucleotide ribosomal RNA is filed under the name uncultured bacterium. RNAcentral describes it as "bacterial SSU rRNA". It matches the Rfam family "Bacterial small subunit ribosomal RNA", at positions 365 to 908 of the family's 1533-position model. The record is from RNAcentral.
UCGGCAAUGGGCGAAAGCCUGACCGAGCGACGCCGCGUGCGGGAUGAAGGCCUUCGGGUUGUAAACCGCUGUCGUAGAGGAGGAAAUGUAAGGGGGUUCUCCCCUUUGCUUGACCUAUUCUAGGAGGAAGUACGGGCUAAGUUCGUGCCAGCAGCCGCGGUAAGACGAACCGUACAAACGUUACUCGGAAUUACUGGGCUUAAAGGGUGCGUAGGCUGCGCGGAAAGUUGGGUGUGAAAUCCCUCGGCUCAACCGGGGAAUUGCAUCCAAAACUGCCGUGCUCGAGGGAGACAGAGGUAAGCGGAACUCAAGGUGGAGCGGUGAAAUGCGUUGAUAUCUUGAGGAACACCGGUGGCGAAGGCGGCUUACUGGGUCUCUUCUGACGCUGAGGCACGAAAGCUAAGGUAGCAAACGGGAUUAGAUACCCCGGUAGUCUUAGCUGUAAGCGAUGAGCACUUGAUUGGAGGGUCCUCCAUAGCCUUCCAGUCGUAGCGAAAGUGUUAAGUGCUCCGCCUGGGGAGUAUGGUCGCAAGGCUGAAACUCAAAGAA